This 29-nucleotide non-coding RNA is filed under the name Rattus norvegicus (Norway rat). The record is from RNAcentral. Lineage: Eukaryota; Metazoa; Chordata; Mammalia; Rodentia; Muridae.
UACAUCUCUUAGUGCCAAAUAGUCACAUA